Molecule: small nucleolar RNA, 107 nt
Organism: Coffea eugenioides
Lineage: Eukaryota; Viridiplantae; Streptophyta; Magnoliopsida; Gentianales; Rubiaceae
Source: RefSeq, a predicted model, not a curated record
UAUUAAUGAUGAGGGCACUGAGCAAGUAAUAGAUUGAACUGCUCCCAAGCUUCAAGAAUUAGCUCCCCUUCCAUUUGAGCAAAGGUGCAAAUCUUAUUCCUCAAAUC